Molecule: unclassified non-coding RNA, 525 nt
Filed under: Hevea brasiliensis (rubber tree)
Lineage: Eukaryota; Viridiplantae; Streptophyta; Magnoliopsida; Malpighiales; Euphorbiaceae
Source: RNAcentral
AUUUACAGCAAAGGGCUAUGAAGAAGCAGAAAUUUUCGGAAGAUUUUGUGCAGAUAUUUCAUUAAAGCUUUGCCAGGAUAUGCUUCUUUGUCAUAUAUAUUUUAACGUUUGAAUAAUGGCUGCACACCCAAAUUAUACAUGAAACAAAACCAUGGGCUGUCUUCUGACCCAGAAUUAAAUUCCCUCAGCCAUUAUGCUAGCAGUUUCUUGAUGACGACGGUGAUACAUAAUGCUAGUGGAAAAUGGUGGCCUUUUGGAUAUUGAUGAGCAAGAAGUCAGCAUCAAAAUCUGGUGUGCGUUUAAUUAAAAAAUGAUCUUUGCUUGUAUAUCUUCCUUUGGGUUGGGGGCAGUUAGGCUGCUUUGUUCCGGUCAGAGAAUCAUAUGUUGCAUGAUUCCUUAACAAGUUAGGCAGGAUAAUUAGUAGAAUUAAUCAUGAGAAAUGGGAAAUUUGAAUGCAAAAGAGUUGAAAACCGUUGAAGCUCUAACUUUUUAUUAGAGAGAGAGAUUGCACCAAGCAAAAGUGGG